UUCUGAGGAGAAGUGCGUGGUAGGAUCUCGAGUGUACAUACCAACAUGACUGCCUGUGGCACAUGAAGAUGAUGAAGGCUCAUUGCUGAUUUACUUUCCGCUGUGUUUAUUCUGAGCUAGUCCAUGUGACUAUGCAAUUUGUAAGGUUUUAUCGUACCCUCUGGAUCAACGAUGUAGUAAUUUGAUACUAUUGCAAUGAUUACUAUAUUUUGUAAUGUGUGUGCUAUCAGUGAUCCCGGGAAUAGCACUAUACACAGGUAUCUUACCUUUAUUAAAAGGUAGGGUGUUACACCUCCUCCACAUACAAACUCCCGCAGCGCAUAGGCGAAGCCCUGCCGGAGUUCUCCACCACCACCGCCACCACGCCGUUGUGCUGCCUGGAUUCCGAGGAGGAUCUACUACUUCCGCUGCCCGCUGGAACGGGGAGAAGGACGUCGUCAUCAACAUCGAACGUGUGACCGAGUACGCAGGUGCUGCCCGAUUGUGGCACCGUCAAGAUCUUCUACGCGCUUUUGAAAGCGGCAAGUGAUCGUCUACCGCAGCAACGAGAGCCUCCUCUUGUAGGCUUUGGAAAUCUUCAAGGACGCUAGUACCAGAGACUAUCAAGAGGAAGAGGUCUUCUACCAAGAGGAAGAGCAAGAGAACUUUGAUCACAUCACCAACCAAGGCAAGCUAUUACCAAUGCAAGCUAGACUAAUGCAAACUAUUUUGGUUGCAAGUUUAUAUUCUUUCCAAGUGCAAAGCUCUACAAGAGCAAGGCACCAUUAC
Long non-coding RNA from Lolium perenne, 768 nucleotides. RefSeq lists it as uncharacterized. The record is from RefSeq and is a predicted model, not a curated record. NCBI's taxonomy places the organism in Eukaryota, Viridiplantae, Streptophyta, Magnoliopsida, Poales, Poaceae.